AGAGUUUGAUCAUGGCUCAGAUUGAACGCUGGCGGCAGGCCUAACACAUGCAAGUCGAGCGGUAGCACAGAGAGCUUGCUCUCGGGUGACGAGCGGCGGACGGGUGAGUAAUGUCUGGGAAACUGCCUGAUGGAGGGGGAUAACUACUGGAAACGGUAGCUAAUACCGCAUAAUGUCGCAAGACCAAAGUGGGGGACCUUCGGGCCUCAUGCCAUCAGAUGUGCCCAGAUGGGAUUAGCUAGUAGGUGGGGUAACGGCUCACCUAGGCGACGAUCCCUAGCUGGUCUGAGAGGAUGACCAGCCACACUGGAACUGAGACACGGUCCAGACUCCUACGGGAGGCAGCAGUGGGGAAUAUUGCACAAUGGGCGCAAGCCUGAUGCAGCCAUGCCGCGUGUGUGAAGAAGGCCUUCGGGUUGUAAAGCACUUUCAGCGGGGAGGAAGGCGGUAAGGUUAAUAACCUUAUCGAUUGACGUUACCCGCAGAAGAAGCACCGGCUAACUCCGUGCCAGCAGCCGCGGUAAUACGGAGGGUGCAAGCGUUAAUCGGAAUUACUGGGCGUAAAGCGCACGCAGGCGGUCUGUCAAGUCGGAUGUGAAAUCCCCGGGCUCAACCUGGGAACUGCAUUCGAAACUGGCAGGCUAGAGUCUUGUAGAGGGGGGUAGAAUUCCAGGUGUAGCGGUGAAAUGCGUAGAGAUCUGGAGGAAUACCGGUGGCGAAGGCGGCCCCCUGGACAAAGACUGACGCUCAGGUGCGAAAGCGUGGGGAGCAAACAGGAUUAGAUACCCUGGUAGUCCACGCCGUAAACGAUGUCGAUUUGGAGGUUGUGCCCUUGAGGCGUGGCUUCCGGAGCUAACGCGUUAAAUCGACCGCCUGGGGAGUACGGCCGCAAGGUUAAAACUCAAAUGAAUUGACGGGGGCCCGCACAAGCGGUGGAGCAUGUGGUUUAAUUCGAUGCAACGCGAAGAACCUUACCUGGUCUUGACAUCCACAGAACUUUCCAGAGAUGGAUUGGUGCCUUCGGGAACUGUGAGACAGGUGCUGCAUGGCUGUCGUCAGCUCGUGUUGUGAAAUGUUGGGUUAAGUCCCGCAACGAGCGCAACCCUUAUCCUUUGUUGCCAGCGGUUCGGCCGGGAACUCAAAGGAGACUGCCAGUGAUAAACUGGAGGAAGGUGGGGAUGACGUCAAGUCAUCAUGGCCCUUACGACCAGGGCUACACACGUGCUACAAUGGCAUAUACAAAGAGAAGCGACCUCGCGAGAGCAAGCGGACCUCAUAAAGUAUGUCGUAGUCCGGAUUGGAGUCUGCAACUCGACUCCAUGAAGUCGGAAUCGCUAGUAAUCGUAGAUCAGAAUGCUACGGUGAAUACGUUCCCGGGCCUUGUACACACCGCCCGUCACACCAUGGGAGUGGGUUGCAAAAGAAGUAGGUAGCUUAACCUUCGGGAGGGCGCUUACCACUUUGUGAUUCAUGACUGGGGUGAAGUCGUAACAAGGUAACCGUAGGGGAACCUGCGGUUGGAUCACCU
This 1528-nucleotide ribosomal RNA is filed under the name Klebsiella pneumoniae. Its description in RNAcentral is "bacterial SSU rRNA". It matches the Rfam family "Bacterial small subunit ribosomal RNA". The record is from RNAcentral. Lineage: Bacteria; Pseudomonadati; Pseudomonadota; Gammaproteobacteria; Enterobacterales; Enterobacteriaceae.